Molecule: ribosomal RNA, 219 nt
Filed under: Salmonella enterica subsp. enterica serovar Typhimurium
Lineage: Bacteria; Pseudomonadati; Pseudomonadota; Gammaproteobacteria; Enterobacterales; Enterobacteriaceae
Description: partial 23S ribosomal RNA
Rfam family: Bacterial large subunit ribosomal RNA
Source: RNAcentral
GCGAGGGGAGUGAAAAAGAACCUGAAACCGUGUACGUACAAGCAGUGGGAGCCCCACCACUAAGCCAGUGGUGAACUCCACAUCCGCAUCCUUUGCUGAGGAUACGGUUAACGGAGCGAAAGCGACGUUCAACCGCAAAACAAGCAGAGGGGGCUUAGUGGUGGGGUGACUGCGUACCUUUUGUAUAAUGGGUCAGCGACUUAUAUUCUGUAGCAAGGU